GUCAGGAUGGCCGAGUGGUCUAAGGCGCCAGCCAGACUCAAGGUUGUCUACCUUUAUAAAGAGUGUUCUGGUCCACGUAUGUGGGCGUGGGUUCAAAUCCCACUUCUGACA
This 111-nucleotide transfer RNA is filed under the name Dreissena polymorpha. It matches the Rfam family "tRNA". From Rfam's summary of the family: Transfer RNA (tRNA) molecules are approximately 80 nucleotides in length. Their secondary structure includes four short double-helical elements and three loops (D, anti-codon, and T loops). Lineage: Eukaryota; Metazoa; Mollusca; Bivalvia; Myida; Dreissenidae. The record is from Rfam by way of RNAcentral.